AUAUAAAAGCACCACUACUCUACUUCUGCCUAUAUAAAGAACACGCCCCUUCAUCCUGCAGAACCACAGUUUCUUGUGCACACCACCAGCUUAUUUGCCUCUCGUUAAGUCACUUUCUUCUACAAAAUACGUUGCAAACAACCUGAUCAAGCAAGGAUGACAAACAGAUCUAUAUCUUUCCCAUCAUCUCCUGUUGGCUAUGUAUUUCGUCCGACCGAUGAACAAUUGGUGAAUCAUUACCUGAGGUUAAAAAUGCAUGGCGGCUAUGAACAAGAAGUCAGCAUAAUCGCCGAAGUUAAUGUGUGCGAUUUUGAGCCUCGGGUACUCCCUGGGCUUUCUACAUAUCAGUCAAACCCCAGAACCAGGUACUGUCAAGCUUCACUUAAUUUGUUCUAUAGUUUUUUCUUCCCUUUUCA
Long non-coding RNA from Populus nigra (black poplar), 416 nucleotides. RefSeq lists it as uncharacterized. Lineage: Eukaryota; Viridiplantae; Streptophyta; Magnoliopsida; Malpighiales; Salicaceae. The record is from RefSeq and is a predicted model, not a curated record. The transcript has 3 exons.